GAGAGAGUUAGGAGUCGAGGCUUAUGGAGUAGGUGGAGAACGAAAACGACGACAUGCCGUUGUCGUUGUCGUCGUCAUCGUAGAAGGGCGGAAAAUAGGGGGCGGGGGGGUACGGUAUACGAGAAUCCAAGGACUUUAAAACAAAUAUAUCGCGCGUAAAUCCAACGUGGAUAUAAGUCACAGCCCGAAGGGAUGGAUCCCCGAGAUAUAUUCCGUACGACGAGCAGAGCAACAGAGGAGAAAAGAAAAAGGAAAAGAAGAAAAAAGAAGAAAAAAAUCAAAAGAAAAAGAAAGUAGGAAAGAGGGAGAGUGGGAGAUGUAAAAUGUUGAAGGGAAGAAGAAGAAAAAGAAGAAGAGGAGGGAACACACCGAGAGCAAAUCGUCGCUGCUUUGCUUUACAUAUUUCCUGCGGAAUUGCUUCUGUCACUCGGUGAGACUCGGAGUGAGAGAGGAAAUGAAAAAAAGGAGCCCCGGAGGAGCAGUUAUUUAAAGUCGCAUUUCUCUCUUACUUCCUCCUUCCGUCUAUCCCCUGUUUUAACGACAUAAUCUUUCACCGUUUUCUACCAAUUAACGACGGGGACUACUAGUUACAUCGAUGGGAUUUAUUUCUUAUUCGUUUAACGUACUCAACGGUUUAACCAACGUGUAUGAGAAAUAAAAUUCGUUGAUAAGAUUUUUUGCGAACGAUUAUAUUUUCUUGGUUUCUUGUUUUUUUUUUUUUUUAUACGAACGUUAACGUUAACAUAUGAGAGGAGAAAAGGGUCUGUAUUAACUUUUUCGUCUAGCCAAUGUACGUAACGUAAAAGGCUCAUCUUUCGAGCACCUUAUUUCUAGAACAAUUAAAAUUCUAUUGGAAAUAAUUUCUCGCGAAGAAUAACAUUAUAGAGCGAGUCUUUGAGACGCGUAGCACAGCUCGUUCUUAUCCUUUGUAAAAGAGAAAAAUAGAAGAAAAAGAAAUAAAAAGCCGACACGGAAAUCAAGAAAAUUUGGUCGACUCGUGUUACCUCUAUUUUUCAGUAUUCGUUUCACGUCGGCAACGACUUCGUGAUGUACAUCGGUCCAAGAACGGUUGGUUCAUUUUCCGAAUGGCAUCGAAAAUAAGGCGUGAAAGUGUGAAGAAGAAAAAGAAGAAGAAGCCAGCAAGCCAGCAAGCCAGCAAGCAAGCAAGGAUCGAGAGAGAACGAUAACGGUGAAGGAAGGAAUAUUUUUCCGGCAACGGGGGAAACAAAUUACUUGGGAAUUACUCGCCUGGGAUUGACGUUUGAUUGCGGCACUGCAUCUCUGCCGAAGAUCUCCUAAUGACCUCGCACCACCACCACCACCACCAACACCACCACCAUCACCCCGUGGCAAUCGUCGAUAAAAAUCUGAUGGCUCAGCCAGAAGGAAAGUUUCGAUCGCGCAAAAGUUGUGCCUCAGAUCGAGGAAAUCAAAGCGACGAUGAGUGGAUUGAGUUGGCGAUGGCGAUGGGAUGGGAGAGGAAAAAAGAGAAACCACCCUACGAGCUGCGAUAUUGUCCAGCAAAGAGACGACAGGGUGGGAUUCUACCAAGAGUUAUUUCGGCUUUUAUGGGUCGAAACUAGCCUGGGUCAUCCGGCACGGUUCCAGAUGACAAGGGAAAAAAGUGCUGGAGAAGAACGUAGACUCUGCUACUUGUCAACCAAAAGAUAUCUUCUUUUCUUAUAACUCGACAAUAUCUCUGUCUCUACUAUCUUUAGCAAACUUAUAAUCCUUCAUAGGUGAUCUGGAUUUUGUACGCCGUGGCACGUACGAAUACCUACUUCGAAAGCCGGAAGACACAUUUCCGGGAGUUGACAUAACUAAUUUAUCAUGUAACACCUCACGACAACGUAUAACGAUUCUAAAUGAAACAUUCGUCAUAUUAUAUAAAAAAGAUAGUUCGAUUAAUAAAAAGUCGUUGAUUCGCGUUCAACGUAUACUACUAUAAAAGAGGAGCGGAAAAAAAACAAGUGUGUACGCUGAUUACAUAGGUGUUCUUUUAAUUAAAAAAAGAGAGGAGAAAAAAAAAAAUAAACAGGUCACGCGUGUGUUGGAGAAACCAUUCGUAAAAGUAAAUUUCGAGAAUUAUAAUAAUAUGGAGAUUUACUUAACUUUUGUUUCUAUUAUCGAUUUUGACAAAAAUCACAUGGGACGACAAUGUGGCAUUUGAAGGAACGUUGAACGAAGAAAAAGACAGACAGACAGACAGACAAGUAUCGUUACCUAUCUCUACGUAUUGAGAAAAUACCGAAAGAAAUAGAAAGAGAGAGAGAGAGAGAGAGAAAGGAAGAUAAAGAGAUAGGGAAAGGAAAACGUGUCACGAGAUCUGGAUACUAGGAGCUAAAGCCACGGGGGACUAUUAGCACACAUCAUCGACAGUCGGCUCACUGUUCGUGAUGCGUUUGUAUUGUUGUGCCUGGUUGAGCGUUGGCAGGAGGCGUGGUUUCGCGAUAAUUCAUUCUUGAUUGCACGUCUGAUACAUACGACCAGUAAUUAUACCGCGGUGUCGAGUGCAUUGCCCCGUUCACGAAAUCAUUCGCACGUAGUGCUUUAUAUACAU
This 2560-nucleotide long non-coding RNA is filed under the name Polistes canadensis. RNAcentral describes it as "uncharacterized LOC106783826". The record is from RNAcentral. Lineage: Eukaryota; Metazoa; Arthropoda; Insecta; Hymenoptera; Vespidae.